GACGAACGCUGGCGGCGUGCUUAACACAUGCAAGUCGAACGGAAAGGCCCUGCUUUUGUGGGGUGCUCGAGUGGCGAACGGGUGAGUAACACGUGAGUAACCUGCCCUUGACUUUGGGAUAACUUCAGGAAACUGGGGCUAAUACCGGAUAGGAGCUCCUGCUGCAUGGUGGGGGUUGGAAAGUUUCGGCGGUUGGGGAUGGACUCGCGGCUUAUCAGCUUGUUGGUGGGGUAGUGGCUUACCAAGGCUUUGACGGGUAGCCGGCCUGAGAGGGUGACCGGGCACAUUGGGACUGAGAUACGGCCCAGACUCCUACGGUAGGCAGCAGUGGGGAAUAUUGCACAAUGGGCGGAAGCCUGAUGCAGCAACGCCGCGUGCGGGAUGACGGCCUUCGGGUUGUAAACCGCUUUCGCCUGUGACGAAGCGUGAGUGACGGUAAUGGGUAAAGAAGCACCGGCUAACUACGUG
This 468-nucleotide ribosomal RNA is filed under the name uncultured bacterium. RNAcentral describes it as "partial 16S ribosomal RNA". It matches the Rfam family "Bacterial small subunit ribosomal RNA", at positions 28 to 507 of the family's 1533-position model. The record is from RNAcentral.